GGCGCCGACCUGCCGCAGCCCGCGCCGCCCCCGCCCCCGCCGCCCGCCGCCCGCCGCCCGCCGCCCGCGUGAGGAGGUCCCCGCGGCCCGGAAGACGCGGGCGGAGCCGUGAAGUCACCUGACCCUCCGGCGCUGCGGGGGGACUCCCGCGAGAUGUCUUACUAUUGGAGCGUCGGACAGUAGCAGAUGUCGCGAGACUCCGGGAUCCAAGUCCGUCCGGGGCGACCGAGUAGUCUCCGUCUGUGGGCGAGUAGUUGGUCACCUUAGCGGUGUGAGGGUGGACGGUGGCCCCUGCACUCCCUAAAUGAUACGAAGGACUUGUUUGUCCCCUGAACCUAAGGACUGGAGAAACAAAAGAAAUAAAAGAGAAGAGAAAAGAGAAGAGAAGAGAACCUUUCCCAUUUGUUCUGUGAAGUCACUCUACUCAUGGAAGCUGGAACAGUGAGUGUAAAUGUUGGCAGGAGAUUCUUUCCACAGCAGACCUGACCACAGCAGACCAGCAGACCUGACCUAACAUGGUGAAUAUAACUAGCAUCAGUAUUUCCUGAGUGCACUUUUAACACCCAAGCCAAAAUGAGAAACCUGGCUAUUUGGCCAAGAUGGCUCAGUUCAGCAACGAAGUCAAGUCCCUACUUACCUGUUAUUUCAUUGUCAGGAACUCAGCCACCACCUGUCCUAUGUAUUCUCAUCCAGGAACAGUUUGAAAACCGGGUUGAUAAAACUGGGGAAAGGGAAAGAAGCCACGAGAAUCCAGAAGUUGGAAGCAUCACUGGACACACCAGGCAGGAAUCCCCCACCAAUCACCUGGGGAUGAUGCUCUCUCGGCCCAACCCACAGGGGUGCACUGACAGGUUUUAA
This 858-nucleotide long non-coding RNA is filed under the name Canis lupus familiaris (dog). RNAcentral describes it as "lncRNA (ENSCAFG00000054893.1)". Lineage: Eukaryota; Metazoa; Chordata; Mammalia; Carnivora; Canidae. The record is from RNAcentral.